GUACUCACUUUAGCAGCAUAUAAACUAAAAUUAGGAAUCUAGAGAAGACUAGCAUGGCCUCUGCACAAAGACAACAUACAAAUACAUGAAGUCUUCAACAUUUUC
This 105-nucleotide small nuclear RNA is filed under the name Notamacropus eugenii (tammar wallaby). The record is from RNAcentral. Lineage: Eukaryota; Metazoa; Chordata; Mammalia; Diprotodontia; Macropodidae.